This 254-nucleotide ribosomal RNA is filed under the name uncultured bacterium. RNAcentral's name for it is "partial 16S ribosomal RNA". It matches the Rfam family "Bacterial small subunit ribosomal RNA", at positions 524 to 776 of the family's 1533-position model. The record is from RNAcentral.
UGCGGGGGGGGCGAGCGUUGUUCGGAAUCACUGGGCGUAAAGGGCGCGUAGGCGGCCCGCACAAGUCUGCGGUGAAAAUCUCCGGCUUAACCGGGGGCCGGCCGUGGAAACUGUCGGGCUGGAGGCUGGGAGAGGGCAGCGGAAUUCCCGGUGUAGCGGUGAAAUGCGUAGAGAUCGGGAGGAACACCGGCGGCGAAGGCGGCUGCCUGGACCAGCCCUGACGCUGAGGCGCGAAAGCGUGGGGAGCAAACAGG